UUUUCCUUUCAUCGUUCCUGUUUCUAUUAUUAGGAUUUGAUAGGUUCAUAGUUUCUUCUUUUCUUAUCUUCCCUUUUCCUUUUGUUGUUUUGUUUAGUAUAACUUUGGUUUAAGAGUUAUUUUAGGUUUUUAUAGUGGGUGAUUUUAUCGUGGGUGAUCUUAUAGUAGGUGAUUUUAUCGUGGGUGAUCUUAUAGUAGGUGAUUUUAUCGUGGGUGAUCUUAUAGUAAGUGAUUUUAUCGUGGGUGAUCUUAUAGUGAUUGAUUUUAUUAUCAUGGGUAAACAUAUCGUCGGUGAUCAUAUAGUGAAUAAUCUUAUCGUGGGUGAUCUUAUUGUGGUUGAUCUUAUAGUGAAUGAUGUUAUCGUGGGUGAUCUUAUCAUGAGUGAUUUAUAGUGGGUGAUUUUAUUGUGGGUGAACUUAUCGUGGGUGAAUUUAUUGUGGGUGAUUUUAUCAGGAGUGAUCUUAUAGUGAGUGAUUUUAUCAUGGAUAAUCUUAUCGCGAGUGAUCUUAUAGUGGGAGAUUUUAUCGUGGGUAAUCUUAUUGUGCGUUAUUUUAUCGUGGGUGAUCUUGUAGUGGGUGAUUUUAUCGUGGGUAAACUUAUCGCGCGUGAUUUUAUUGUGGGUAAUCUUAUGGUGGGUAGUCUUAUUGUGAGUCAUCUUGUAGUGGAUGAUUUUAUCGUGGGUGAUCUUAUAGUGGAUGAUUUUAUCGUGGGUGAUGUUAUGGUGGGUGAUUUUAUCGUAGGUAAUCUUAUCGUGGGUGAUCUUAUAGUGGGUGAUGUUAUCGUGGGUAUUCUUAUGGUUGGUGAUCUUAUGGUGAGUGAUUUUAUCGUGGGUGAUCUUAUCAUGAGUGAUUUUGUUGUGCGUGAUUUUAUUGUGGGUAAUCUUAUGGUGGGUAGUCUUAUCGUGGGUGAUCUUGUAGUGGGUGAUUUUAUCGUGGGUGAUCUUAUAGGUUCAUUUCUUUUUAUUGUUUUUGUAAAUAGAGCUUGUACUAGUUUUCUUUUAUUUUUUUAUUUUUCUACCUUCAAUUUUCUGCUUUAAUUCUUUAGACCAUUAUUUGUUCAUUGUUCAUUGCUUUUGUAAAUAGGAAAUGCUUUAGGUUCUUUCCUUUCUAGGUUCUGUUUUAAGCUGCUGUUAGGAAUUGUUUUCGUUUUCAUCGUCUCUGAUUCUAUUAUUAGUAUUUGCAUAGGUUCAUAGUUACUUCUUUUUUUAUCUUUUCCUCUUUUUCUUUUGUUGUUUUCUUUCGUAGAACUUUGGUUUAAGAGUUGUUUUAGAUUCUUUUAUCCAGUCUUCGAUUGUAUAGUUUGUAUAUAGUUUAGGAGAUGAUGUUAGACAUUUUUAGGUUCAUCUUAGGUUCUGUUUCAUACUCUCAUUCGUUCUUUGCAUAUUUAACUCAUUUCUUAUAUUCAUUUCUUUUGAUUAGAACUGUUAAUUGUUUUUUCUGCAUUAGAUUGAUGUAGAAGUAGUCCUAACAUUAAGUUUUUGCAUCUGAGUUCAGUUCUGGCUGAAUUAAGUUGUUUUUCAAAUGUUUGGACUGCUGAAACUGAUGUUUAAAGUUGAGAAAUAUGAUUGUUCAGUUCUGAUUGAGGAAAUGGNUGAAAAAUGAUUGAAUUGGCAGGAUAGGUUGAGUUUUGAAUAAGUCUAGUGUUCCUAGUUUGUGUUUAGUCUUUUAAUUGUUUCUGAGUUUUGUUUUGAGUCUUUCAUUUUGUAGUUUGAGUCUUUGUUUUCAUUUUAGUUAUCCCUGUCCAGGAUGACAGUUUCUUUGUAAAUAGUCAUUCUUAAUUAUGAUUUGUAAACGUUUAUUUGUUUUGCUGAUUUUCGGAUUCAUGAAGUUUGUUCUAGGAUUGCUUAGGUUCUUUUCUUUCCAUUUUUUUUGUAAAUACAGCUCAUACUAGUUUUCUUCUAUGUUUUGCUUUUCUACNUUUAAUUUUCUGCUUUAAUUCCUUAGACCAUUCUUUGUUCAUUGCUUCUGUAAAUANGAAUUGUUUUAGGUUCUUUCCUUUCUAGGUUCUGUUUUAAGCUGCCAUUAGGAAAUUUUUUUCCUUUCGUCGUUCCUGUUUCUAUUAUUAGGAUUUGAUAGGUUCAUAGUUUCUUCUUUUCUUAUCUUCCUUUUUCCUUUUGUUGUUUUGUUUAGUAUAACUUUGGUUUAAGAGUUGUUUUAGGUUCUUUUAUCCAGUCUUAGAUUGUAUAGGUUGUAUAUAGUGUAGGAGAUGAUGUUAGGCAUUUCUAGGUUCAUCUUAGGUUCUAUUUCAUACUCUCAUUCUUUCUUUGCUUAUUUAACUCAUUUCUUAGUUUCAUUUCUUUUGAUUUGAAUGGUUAAUUGUGUUUUUCGCUUUAGAUUGAUGUAGAAGUAGUCCUAGCAUUAAGUUUUUGCAUCUGAGUUCAGUCCUGGUUGAAUGAAGUUGUUUUUCAAAUGUUUGGACUACUGAAACUGAUGUUUAAAGUUGAGAAAUAUGAUUGUUCAGUUCUGAUUGAGGAAAUGGCUNAAAAAUGAUUGAAUUGGCAUGAUAGGUUGAGUUGUGAAUAAGUCUAGUGUUCCUAGUUUGUGUUUAGACUUUUAAUUCUUUCCGAGUUUUGUUUUGAGUCUUUCAUUUUGUAGUUUGANUCUUUGUUUUCAUUUUAGNUAUCCCUGUNCAGGAUGACAGUUUCUUUGUAAAUAGUCAUUCUUAAUUAUGAUUUGUAAACGCUUAUUUCUUUUGCUGAUUUUCGGAUUCAUUAAGUUUUUUCUAGGAUUGGUUAGGUUCUUUUCUUUCCAUUGUUUUUGUAAAUACAACUUGUACUAGUUUUCUUAUAUUUUUUGCUUUUCUACCUUCAAAUUUUUGCUUUAAUUCCUUAGACCAUUCUUUGUUCAUUGCUUCUGUAAAUAGGAAUUGCUUUAGGUUCUUUCCUUUCUAGGUUCUGUGUUAAGCUGCCAUUAGAAAUUUUUUUUUUGCUUUCAUCGUUCCUGUUUCUAUUAUUAGGAUUUGAUAGGUUCAUAGUUUCUUCUUUUCUUAUUUUCCCUUUUCCUUUUGUUGUUUUCUUUUGUAUAACUUUGGUUUAAGAGUUGUUUUAGGUUCUUUUAUCCAGUCUUAGAUUGUAUAUGUUGUAUAUAGUGUAGGAGAUGAUGUUAGGCAUUUCUAGGUUCAUCUUAGGUUCUGUUUCAUACUCUCAUUCAUUCUUUUCUUAUUUAACUCAUUUCGUUGUUUCAUUUCUUUUGAUUUGAACGGUUAAUUGUGUUUUUUUCUUUAGAUUGAUGUAGAAGUAGUCCUAGCAUUAAGUUUUUGCAUCUGAGUUCAGUCCUGGCUGAAUUAAGUUGUUUUUCAAAUGCUUGGACUGCUUAAACUGAUGUUUAAAGUUUAGAAAUAUGAUUGUUCAGUUCUGAUUGAGAAAAUGGUUGGAAAAUGAUUGAAUUGGCACGAUAGGUUGAGUUGUGAAUAAAUCUAGUGUUCCUAGUUUCUGUUUAGUCCUUUAAUUGUUUCUGAGUUUUGUUUUGGGUCU
RNAcentral lists this long non-coding RNA (3472 nucleotides) under Vigna radiata. RNAcentral describes it as "long non-coding RNA (VRAD_LNC003943)". Lineage: Eukaryota; Viridiplantae; Streptophyta; Magnoliopsida; Fabales; Fabaceae. The record is from RNAcentral.